UUUCCCCUUCUUCCCGUGCCUUUGUGUGCGACUGCCGGUGACAGGUGUCGCCGAUUCUUGGUCGAAAAAGAGACCCAUGUUUUGGCCUCUUUUCCUUGGAUUUUUCGAUGCCAGCAAUUGUAAUCGACCAUCCGCCAUGCCUCACCGUAACCGGGGAGUGGCCCCCCUCUACUGCCAGCCUCCACCGUGGCGGCCGCGGCCUGAACGGCCCGACCAAGGA
RNAcentral lists this long non-coding RNA (220 nucleotides) under Elaeis guineensis (African oil palm). RNAcentral describes it as "long non-coding RNA (EGUI_LNC037063)". The record is from RNAcentral. Lineage: Eukaryota; Viridiplantae; Streptophyta; Magnoliopsida; Arecales; Arecaceae.